GAUGAACGCUAGCGGCAGGCCUAAUACAUGCAAGUCGGACGGGAUUCAGGAGCUUGCUUCUGAUGAGAGUGGCGCACGGGUGCGUAACACGUAUGUAACCUACCUUUAUCAGGGGGAUAGCCUCUCGAAUGAGAGAUUAAGCCCGCAUAAAAUCACAGCACAGCAUUGUGUAAUGAUCAAAUAUUUAUAGGAUAAAGAUGGGCAUGCGGAACAUUAGCUAGAUGGCGGGGUAACGGCCCACCAUGGCGACGAUGUUUAGGGGAUCUGAGAGGAUGGCCCCCCACACGGGUACUGGGACACGGACCAGACUCCUACGGGAGGCAGCAGUAAGGAAUAUUGGUCAAUGGGCGGAAGCCUGAACCAGCCAUGCCGCGUGCAGGAAGACGGCCCUACGGAUUGUAAACUGCUUUUAUACGGGAAUAAACCCAGAUACGUGUAUCUGGCUGAAUGUACUGUAAGAAUAAGGAUCGGCUAACUCCGUG
Molecule: ribosomal RNA, 482 nt
Filed under: uncultured bacterium
Lineage: Bacteria
Description: partial 16S ribosomal RNA
Rfam family: Bacterial small subunit ribosomal RNA
Source: RNAcentral